Canis lupus familiaris (dog) is the source of this 104-nucleotide non-coding RNA. The record is from Rfam. NCBI's taxonomy places the organism in Eukaryota, Metazoa, Chordata, Mammalia, Carnivora, Canidae.
GUGCUCGCUUCAGCAACACAUACACUAAAAUUGGAACAAUACAGAGAUUAGCAUGGCCCCUGUGCAAGGAUAACAUGCAGAUUUGUGAAGCAUUCCACAUUAAA